ACCGUGGUAAUUCUAGAGCUAAUACAUGCUGAAAAUCCCGACUUCGGAAGGGAUGUAUUUAUUAGAUUAAAAACCAAUGCCUCUGGGCUUCUGGGUGAUUCAUGAUAACUUCUCGAAUCGCAUGGCCUUGCGCCGGCGAUGGUUCAUUCAAAUCUCUUCCCUAUCAACUUUCGAUGCGAAGGUCUUGUCUUCGCAUGGUUACAACGGGUCGGAGGGUUGGCUCGACCCCGGAGAAGGAGCCUGAGAAACGCUACUACAUCCAAGGAAGGCAGCAGGCGCGCAAAUUACCCAAUCCCGACACGGGGAGGUGACAAUAAAUACUGAUACAGGGCUCUUUUGGGUCUUGUAAUUGGAAUGAGUACAAUUUAAAUCCCUUCGAGGAACAAUUGGAGGGCAAGUCUGGUCCAGCAGCCGCGGUAAUUCCAGCUCCAAUAGCGUAUAUUAAAGUUGUUGUGGUUAAAAAGCUCGUAGUUGAACCUUGGGCCUGGUUGGCCGGUCCCCCUCACCGGGCGCACUGAUCCAGCCGGGCCUUUCCCUCUACGGAACCCAUGGCCUUCACUGGUCGUGGCGGGGAAGUAGGACUUUUACUUUGAAAAAAUUAGAGUGCUCCAGGCAGGCCUAUGCUCGAAUACAUUAGCAUGGAAUAAUGGAAUAGGACGCGUGGUUCUAUUUUGUUGGUUUCUAGGACCGCCGUAAUGAUUAAUAGGGACAGUCGGGGGCAUCAGAUUCAAUUGUCAGAGGUGAAAUUCUUGGAUCUAUUGAAGACUAACUACUGCGAAAGCAUUUGCCAAGGAUGUUUUCAUUGAUAAGGAACGAAAGUUAGGGGAUCGAAGACGAUCAGAUACCGUCGUAGUCUUAACUAUAAACUAUGCCGACUAGGGAUCGGACGAUGUUAUUUAUUGACUCGUUCGGCACCUUUCGAGAAAUCAAAGUGCUUGGGCUCCAGGGGAGUAUGGUCGCAAGGCUGAAACUUAAAGAAAUUGACGGAAGGGCACCACCAGGGGUGGAACCUGCGGUUUAAUUUGACUCAACACGGGGAAACUCACCAGGUGACACAGUGAGGAUUGACAGAUUGAGAGCUCUUUCUUGAUUCUGUGGGUGGUGGUGCAUGGCCGUUCUUAGUUGGUGGAGUGAUUUGUCUGCUUAAUUGCGAUAACGAACGAGACCUUAACCUGCUAAAUAGCCCGUACUGCUUUGGCAGUUCGCUGGCUUCUUAGAGGGACUAUCGGCUCAAGCCGAUGGAAGUUUGAGGCAAUAACAG
This 1261-nucleotide ribosomal RNA is filed under the name Corollospora marina. Its description in RNAcentral is "SSU rRNA". It matches the Rfam family "Eukaryotic small subunit ribosomal RNA", at positions 146 to 1459 of the family's 1831-position model. Lineage: Eukaryota; Fungi; Ascomycota; Sordariomycetes; Microascales; Halosphaeriaceae. The record is from RNAcentral.